Molecule: long non-coding RNA, 948 nt
Organism: Polypterus senegalus (gray bichir)
Lineage: Eukaryota; Metazoa; Chordata; Cladistia; Polypteriformes; Polypteridae
Exons: 2
Source: RefSeq, a predicted model, not a curated record
UCUAGUAAUGCUGUUUGGAUCCAGAUUCUAUUGCAGCAUUCUUUGACAUUUCUGGUAAGUAAAUAGAAGCAUAGGGGGUCUCAGACUGGCUAAACUACAGUUCAUUUGUUUCAGGAUUUUUUUCUAGUUCUGAAGCAAUUGGUUAGUCAUUUUUUUUAAAAUAAAAUAUUGUGCUGUUUCUGUUUAGUUUUGAAGACAAGCCCCUAGCAUGUUUUCUCUCUUUUUACUGCACAUCUAAUGGAAACUGAAAGCAACAAGACAUGGGGUCAGCUAGCAGCUAAAUCCUCAAGGAGGCACCACACUUUGGAUGUAUGGAUAUUUGUGUACUGAUACACAAACCAGGAUACUACACUGCCACUAGUGCUCAAUUGGUCAUUUCACAGGUUUUAAAGAUUACAUUAUUUUUAAUUCAGAAUUUCAGAACAGCUUUAAAACUUAUUUUUGAGGGCAUUUUCAUUUUUUCUGUGGCAUAUUAAAACAUAUGUGCAUAGCUUACACCAGUAAAAGAUCACAAAGUAACUGAUGCAUGCCAUUUGUCUUGCCAGAGCCAUCAAAUGCAGAGGAUGAUCAGCUUUGUAAGGUGUUAAUGGCAUACUGGGCUAAUUUUGCUCGAAAUGGAGAUCCAAAUGGAGAAGGGCUGCUGCAUUGGCCUCCUUAUGAUGAUUCUGAAAGCUACAUGGUACUGAAUUUAACCCAAAGCGUUCAGCAGAAACUAAUGGGAGACAAAUUGAAAUUCUUACUCCAAACUCUACCCCAAAAAAUUAAACACCUGAAGGACAAUGGAUAUUAAGUUCUGGAAAUGUAACUACCAUUCUACAGUAAUACCUUUAAAAAAAUGUCAAAGUUGAAUAGCUUAAACUUAAAGGGUUUAUGAAUUUGUGAAAGAUUAAUUUUGACUUAAAAUUUAAAGAAAGUAAAUUUAAAUAAAUGUAAUAUUUCUCAUCAGAA